AGUGAACGCUGGCGGUAUGCCUAAUACAUGCAAGUCGAACGGCAGCACAGUAAGAGCUCGCCCUUACGGUUGGCGAGUGGCGGACGGGUGAGGAAUACAUCGGAAUCUACUUUUUCUUGGGGGACAACGUAGGGAAACUUACGCUAAUACCUCAUACUACCUACGGGUUAAAUCAAGAGUUCUUCGCACUUUGGGCGUCUCUUUGAGCUGAUGUCGGAUUAGCUAGUUGGCGAGGUAAAGGCCCACCAAGGCAACGAUCCGUAGCUGACCUGAGAGGAUGAUCAGCCACACUGGAACUGAGACACGGUCCAGACUCCUACGGGAGGCAGCAGUAGGGAAUCUUCCACAAUGGGCGAAAGCCUGAUCGAGCAAUGCCGCGUGAGUGAUGAAGGCCUUCGGAUUGUAAAACCCUUUUAUUGGGGAAGAAAAGAAGUAUGUGAAUGCGUGCAUGUUCUGACGGUACCCAAAGAGAAAGCACCGGCUAACUUCGUG
This 492-nucleotide ribosomal RNA is filed under the name uncultured bacterium. RNAcentral's name for it is "partial 16S ribosomal RNA". It matches the Rfam family "Bacterial small subunit ribosomal RNA", at positions 29 to 507 of the family's 1533-position model. The record is from RNAcentral.